Molecule: ribosomal RNA, 822 nt
Filed under: Emericellopsis minima
Lineage: Eukaryota; Fungi; Ascomycota; Sordariomycetes; Hypocreales; Bionectriaceae
Description: LSU rRNA
Rfam family: Eukaryotic large subunit ribosomal RNA
Source: RNAcentral
GCCCUUAGUAACGGCGAAGUGAAGCGGCAACAGCUCAAAUUUGAAAUCUGGCACUUGUGCCCGAGUUGUAAUUUGUAGAGGAUGCUUUUGGCGACGCGCCUUCCGAGUUCCCUGGAACGGGACGCCAUAGAGGGUGAGAGCCCCGUCCGGUCGUGCGCCUAGCCUCUGUAAAGCUCCUUCGACGAGUCGAGUAGUUUGGGAAUGCUGCUCUAAAUGGGAGGUAUACGUCUUCUAAAGCUAAAUACCGGCCAGAGACCGAUAGCGCACAAGUAGAGUGAUCGAAAGAUGAAAAGCACUUUGAAAAGAGGGUUAAAUAGUACGUGAAAUUGCUGAAAGGGAAGCGCUUAUGACCAGACUUGGGCGCGGCGGAUCAUCCGGCGUUCUCGCCGGUGCACUCCACCGCCCCAGGCCAGCAUCAGUUCGCGCCGGGGGACAAAGGCUUCGGGAAUGUGGCUCCCUCGGGAGUGUUAUAGCCCGUUGCGUAAUACCCUGGUGCGGACUGAGGUCCGCGCUCUGCAAGGAUGCUGGCGUAAUGGUCAUCAGUGACCCGUCUUGAAACACGGACCAAGGAGUCGUCUUCGUAUGCGAGUGUUCGGGUGUCAAACCCCUACGCGGAAUGAAAGUGAACGUAGGAGAGAGCUUCGGCGCAUCUCCGACCGAUCCUGAUGUUCUCGGAUGGAUUUGAGUAAGAGCAUACGGGGCCGGACCCGAAAGAAGGUGAACUAUGCCUGUGUAGGGUGAAGCCAGAGGAAACUCUGGUGGAGGCUCGCAGCGGUUCUGACGUGCAAAUCGAUCGUCAAACAUGGCAUGGGGCGAAAGACU